This 309-nucleotide long non-coding RNA is filed under the name Nicotiana benthamiana. Its description in RNAcentral is "long non-coding RNA (NBEN_LNC001795)". Lineage: Eukaryota; Viridiplantae; Streptophyta; Magnoliopsida; Solanales; Solanaceae. The record is from RNAcentral.
AAGUCUUAAGUGCCAAAUGUAAUUCAUGUCAGAUAUAAGAUCAUUAUUACAGAUGGAACUAUUUACAUGUGAAGGUAAUGGAACAGCCUUGUUAUCAGACAAAAAGUCAUCAUUACAAGAAACUGACACAGAAGGCAAUGCAACAACCUUGCUAUCAUUACAAGAAGCAGAUACAGGACAAAUAGAAGUAGAGGAACAACUAACAGAGGAGGAAGGGGAAGGAGGAACCCAAGCCAAUUUAUAUAAGCCAGCAGCUUCUCUACCAAGAUCCAGUGGCCUCCUCAGAGAAGGGUCAUGUAUCAUGUGUAG